Molecule: long non-coding RNA, 644 nt
Organism: Mesitornis unicolor (brown roatelo)
Lineage: Eukaryota; Metazoa; Chordata; Aves; Mesitornithiformes; Mesitornithidae
Exons: 2
Source: RefSeq, a predicted model, not a curated record
UUCUUUUGUUUCAGCCUGAACUGGGAGACUUGGAUACCUGGCAGGAAAAUACUAAUGCCUGGGAAGAAGCGGAAGAUGCUGCCUGGCAGGCAGAAGAAGUUCUUAGACAACAGAAGAUAGCAGAAAGGGAAAAAAGAGCAGCAGAACAACAACGCAAGAAAAUGGAGAAAGAGGCUCAAAGGCUAAUGAAAAAGGAACAAAACAAAAUUGGUGUAAAACUGUCCUAACAGAAACCAGGCCUCAAUGGCAGUGCCAGUGAAAAAGAGAAUUCCAGCUCUACAACAUAAAUAUUGGUAUUGAUUCAAGUAUUUCUAGGACUUCAACACACUGUUUGGUUUCAAUGCAUUCUUCAGGUCAUCUCGAAAGCCAGGAUUCUGACAAAGUAUCCUGACCUACUGAUAGGUGGUUCUUCAAAGAGAGAAAACCCCACAGAAAAUCAUGCCUUGAUGGAAUGAUGUUUCCUGCAAUAGUUCUGUUCCAGCACCCCUCUUUGCAGCAACAGUGAUUAAGCAAGGAUGUUGAUUGAAAGACACUCUUAAUGAACAGCUCAAGCCUACAGAAGAGAAUGUAAAUAUUCAGUGGUGGGAAAUCUACUGUAUUGUCUGUGCUUACCUGAAACAUGUAAUUAAACAGUUUUAAAGAAA